Non-coding RNA from Dama dama (fallow deer), 73 nucleotides. The record is from the annotation of a RefSeq genome assembly. Lineage: Eukaryota; Metazoa; Chordata; Mammalia; Artiodactyla; Cervidae.
UCCCUGGCAGUCCAGUGGUUAGGACUCAGCACUUUCACUGCUGAGGACUUAGGUUCAAUCCCUGGUUGGGGAG